RNAcentral lists this transfer RNA (76 nucleotides) under Erysipelotrichaceae bacterium. RNAcentral describes it as "tRNA-Ala". It matches the Rfam family "tRNA". Rfam says of the family: Transfer RNA (tRNA) molecules are approximately 80 nucleotides in length. Lineage: Bacteria; Bacillati; Bacillota; Erysipelotrichia; Erysipelotrichales; Erysipelotrichaceae. The record is from RNAcentral.
GGGGGAUUAGCUCAGCUGGUAGAGCAUCUGGUUCGCAAUCAGGAGGUCACGGGUUCAAGUCCCGCAUUCUCCACCA